RNAcentral lists this ribosomal RNA (511 nucleotides) under Staphylococcus aureus. RNAcentral describes it as "bacterial SSU rRNA". It matches the Rfam family "Bacterial small subunit ribosomal RNA", at positions 1022 to 1533 of the family's 1533-position model. The record is from RNAcentral. Lineage: Bacteria; Bacillati; Bacillota; Bacilli; Caryophanales; Staphylococcaceae.
GGGGACAAAGUGACAGGUGGUGCAUGGUUGUCGUCAGCUCGUGUCGUGAGAUGUUGGGUUAAGUCCCGCAACGAGCGCAACCCUUAAGCUUAGUUGCCAUCAUUAAGUUGGGCACUCUAAGUUGACUGCCGGUGACAAACCGGAGGAAGGUGGGGAUGACGUCAAAUCAUCAUGCCCCUUAUGAUUUGGGCUACACACGUGCUACAAUGGACAAUACAAAGGGCAGCGAAACCGUGAGGUCAAGCAAAUCCCAUAAAGUUGUUCUCAGUUCGGAUUGUAGUCUGCAACUCGACUACAUGAAGCUGGAAUCGCUAGUAAUCGUAGAUCAGCAUGCUACGGUGAAUACGUUCCCGGGUCUUGUACACACCGCCCGUCACACCACGAGAGUUUGUAACACCCGAAGCCGGUGGAGUAACCUUUUAGGAGCUAGCCGUCGAAGGUGGGACAAAUGAUUGGGGUGAAGUCGUAACAAGGUAGCCGUAUCGGAAGGUGCGGCUGGAUCACCUCCUUU